This 358-nucleotide ribosomal RNA is filed under the name uncultured prokaryote. Its description in RNAcentral is "bacterial SSU rRNA". It matches the Rfam family "Archaeal small subunit ribosomal RNA", at positions 498 to 747 of the family's 1478-position model. The record is from RNAcentral.
AGUGGCGGGGUGUUUACUGGGCUUAAAGCGCCCGUAGCCGGCCCGGCAAGUCGCUCCUGAAAUCCCAGGGCUCAACCCUGGGGCGGGGGGCGAUACUGCCGGGCUAGGGGGCGGAAGAGGCCGCCGGUACUCCGGGGGUAGGGGCGAAAUCCGUUAAUCCCCGGAGGACCACCAGUGGCGAAAGCGGGCGGCCAGAACGCGCCCGACGGUGAGGGGCGAAAGCCGGGGGAGCAAACCGGGCUCAGGUCGGCGUUGCGCAGACAAUCUAAUCAUCCAGUCCCACCACGCGCGCCAACCCCUCAUCUUUACCAAGCCGACCUGGCCCGGGCUCAAAGGGGAUUAGAUACCCCCGUAGUCC